CCAGACUCCUACGGGAGGCAGCAGUGGGGAAUAUUGCACAAUGGGGGAAACCCUGAUGCAGCGACGCCGCGUGAGCGAAGAAGUAUUUCGGUAUGUAAAGCUCUAUCAGCAGGGAAGAAAUUGACGGUACCUGAGUAAGAAGCUCCGGCUAAAUACGUGCCAGCAGCCGCGGUAAUACGUAUGGAGCAAGCGUUAUCCGGAUUUACUGGGUGUAAAGGGAGCGUAGGCGGCCUGCCAAGUCUGAUGUGAAAACUCAGGGCUCAACCCUGAGCCUGCAUUUGAAACUGUUUUUCUUGAGUGCUGGAGAGGCAAUCGGAAUUCCGUGUGUAGCGGUGAAAUGCGUAGAUAUACGGAGGAACACCAGUGGCGAAGGCGGAUUGCUGGACAGUAACUGACGCUGAGGCGCGAAAGCGUGGGGAGCAAACAGGAUUAGAUACCCUCGUACG
RNAcentral lists this ribosomal RNA (446 nucleotides) under uncultured bacterium. Its description in RNAcentral is "partial 16S ribosomal RNA". It matches the Rfam family "Bacterial small subunit ribosomal RNA", at positions 331 to 793 of the family's 1533-position model. The record is from RNAcentral.